Molecule: long non-coding RNA, 701 nt
Filed under: Elaeis guineensis (African oil palm)
Lineage: Eukaryota; Viridiplantae; Streptophyta; Magnoliopsida; Arecales; Arecaceae
Description: long non-coding RNA (EGUI_LNC081434)
Source: RNAcentral
UUGUGGGUAGUCGAUCGCCGUAAUCUGAUCACCGUCGGAGGGCUCUGAUCGUCACGUCAUAGCCACACAAAUGUCUGACCUCUGCGGAUCAUCCACACGAAGCUCCCAUCUGAUCAGCUCCUCACGAAUGCUAGUUCGUGAUUUCAUCCUUUUGAUGGCAGAUGUUGAUCGAACUCCUUCGAUCGAUGUGUGCCGACUUCUCGGACACUCUGGAUCAUCUGCACAGUUGCUUGAGAGGCUGAUGGAUCUCUCCCUGAAAUUUGGUGGACUCAUGACACUUGUGGCACACCAAUCUCACUUCCCGAACCCUAGGUAGAAACCCUAGGGUACACACCAAAAACCCUGCGCCCAAUUUUCUCUCUUUUCUUUCUUUUUCUCUCGGAAGGUUUUGGACCUUCACCUUGCACAGAAGCCUUCCUCACGCCUCAAAGUUUCUCUCCUAAAAUUUCUACUCACGUCCCACCUUUCUCCUCUUUUUAAAACAACGUCGAACGUGUCUUAUCCGCGUGAGAGGAUAAAGACAAGAGGUUACACAUUUGAAUUCAAAUCAAAUUUGAAUUCAAACGAAAAUCAACUUAUCCCUAUCCUUUUGGGCGUGAGAAGAGAAGGGGCGUGGCUCUUUGUGUAUAGAAAAUGUUUCACGAGAAACCUUUUCUCGUGUAAGUAAUGUGGCGCACAAAAUGGAUAAGGAUGAAAGGGCA